Molecule: ribosomal RNA, 118 nt
Filed under: Larimichthys crocea (large yellow croaker)
Lineage: Eukaryota; Metazoa; Chordata; Actinopteri; Sciaenidae
Source: RNAcentral
GCUUACGGCCAUACCACCCUGAAUGCGCCGAUUUCGUCUGAUCUCGGAAGCUAAGCAGGGUCAGGCCUGGUUAGUACUUGGAUGGGAGACCGCCUGGGAAUACCAGGUGCUGUAAGCU